This 450-nucleotide ribosomal RNA is filed under the name uncultured bacterium. Its description in RNAcentral is "bacterial SSU rRNA". It matches the Rfam family "Bacterial small subunit ribosomal RNA", at positions 29 to 526 of the family's 1533-position model. The record is from RNAcentral.
AACGAACGCUGGCGGCAGGCUUAACACAUGCAAGUCGAGCGCCCCGCAAGGGGAGCGGCAGACGGGUGAGUAACGCGUGGGAAUCUACCCUGAACUGCGGAAUAGCUCCGGGAAACUGGAAUUAAUACCGCAUGUGCCCUGAGGGGCAAAGAUUUAUCGGUUCAGGAUGAGCCCGCGUCCGAUUAGCUAGUUGGUGGGGUAAAGGCCUACCAAGGCGACGAUCGGUAGCUGGUCUAAGAGGAUGAUCAGCCACAUUGGGACUGAGACACGGCCCAAACUCCUACGGGAGGCAGCAGUGGGGAAUAUUGGACAAUGGGCGCAAGCCUGAUCCAGCCAUGCCGCGUGAGUGAUGAAGGCCCUAGGGUUGUAAAGCUCUUUCAGUGGGGACGAUAAUGACGGUACCCACAGAAGAAGCCCCGGCUAACUUCGUGCCAGCAGCCGCAGUAAAAC